AAGGGUGAUUGAGUUCAGAAAAGCUUCUUUCACCUUCUCUCUUUCUCUCUCUCUAGGGUUUUUCUCUCUCUAGAGAAAAUCCGCCGAUUCGCGCCGUUUCCGCGCCGCGCUUGUUGUUCGCUGGUUUGGCGACUUAAAGGAGGCUUCCAGCACGUGGGAAAGAGGAGCUUUGCUGUGUUUCUAUGAGGUUACUGCCAGGGGAAGCUGAAUUUCAGUUUUAGAGAGGUCUUCGAGUCUCGUUGAGCUGAACUUGCACUCUUAGAAGCUGGUUUGGGAGGUAUUCUAACCUGAGGUAAGCAGGGAUUUCAGUUAGAAAACUGAAUUCGCAAGAUUCCGACUAUAUUUGCUAUUAUGUGAUGAUUUUGAUGUCGUGUUGGUGUUGAUCGCAGCGGGAGUUCGACUGACCUUUGGGUCAUCCUUGGUUGGCUUUGGGAAGCCUUUAGAGACUUAAUUGGAGCAUUGGGGCUUCGUUGAGCCGUUUGUGGGACUUCUUGU
Long non-coding RNA from Ananas comosus (pineapple), 495 nucleotides. RefSeq lists it as uncharacterized. The record is from RefSeq and is a predicted model, not a curated record. Lineage: Eukaryota; Viridiplantae; Streptophyta; Magnoliopsida; Poales; Bromeliaceae. The transcript has 3 exons.